Molecule: ribosomal RNA, 250 nt
Filed under: uncultured bacterium
Lineage: Bacteria
Also listed under: 1 other name
Description: partial 16S ribosomal RNA
Rfam family: Bacterial small subunit ribosomal RNA
Source: RNAcentral
UACGUAGGGGACAAGCGUUGUCCGGAUUUACUGGGCGUAAAGGGCACGCAGGCGGUUUUUUAAGUCAGAUGUGAAAGGUACCGGCUCAACCGGUGACAUGCAUUUGAAACUGCUGAGCUUGAGUGCAGGAGAGGCAAGUGGAAUUCCUAGUGUAGCGGUGAAAUGCGUAGAUAUUAGGAGGAACACCGGUGGCGAAGGCGGCUUGCUGGACAAAUACUGACGCUGAGGUGCGAAAGCGUGGGGAGCAAAC